GCAUGUCUGUCUUGAAGAGGGCAGGUUCAGUGCACAUUUAUUUUCUACCAAGACAGUGUCAGGAGAAGGCCUUGCUGCUUUUGUUAUUAUUCCUGGAAAGGAGAAUUGUGUGAAAAUUGUUUUGGUUUUAAUACAGAAUAAUAUAUUUUUUAAUUUAGGGCUUAUUUUGAAAAAUAAUGAGUUCAGCUCAAAUGUGUGCAGAUACCUUCUAGAAAAAGUGGACUCAUGCUCUUGGAGGAAGACACCAUAGUCACUUCCACCUCCUGGGCCUGACAGCCAACCCAAGAGGCUGUGUCUCACAAAUUUACUGAAGACACCGCAGCUCCUGGAUCCAGGCAGUACCCUCGCCCAUGGCCCUUGGCCCCAAUGCCCUCCCCAUCCCAGUCUGGGCCACUCACUGAAGCUGGUUGAUGAUGACCAUGCGGACGUGCUCCCGGGCCUUCAAG
Molecule: long non-coding RNA, 446 nt
Organism: Manis pentadactyla (Chinese pangolin)
Lineage: Eukaryota; Metazoa; Chordata; Mammalia; Pholidota; Manidae
Exons: 3
Source: RefSeq, a predicted model, not a curated record